GGGUCUAUGAGGACAAACCAACGUCAUGAAGAGAGGUGAUGACAAAAAAUAUCAUGCUCAGGAUGGGGCUGCUGAGUCCC
Mesocricetus auratus (golden hamster) is the source of this 80-nucleotide small nucleolar RNA. RefSeq annotates it as small nucleolar RNA SNORD115. The record is from RefSeq and is a predicted model, not a curated record. NCBI's taxonomy places the organism in Eukaryota, Metazoa, Chordata, Mammalia, Rodentia, Cricetidae. The transcript has a single exon.